GCCAGACUCCUACGGGAGGCAGCAGUGGGGAAUAUUGCACAAUGGGGGAAACCCUGAUGCAGCGACGCCGCGUGAGUGAAGAAGUAAUUCGUUAUGUAAAGCUCUAUCAGCAGGGAAGAAAAUGACGGUACCUGAGUAAGAAGCCCCGGCUAACUACGUGCCAGCAGCCGCGGUAAUACGGAGGAUGCGAGCGUUAUCCGGAUUUAUUGGGUUUAAAGGGUGCGUAGGCGGUCCGGAAAGUCAGCGGUAAACGCCGGGGGCAAACCCCCGGCGAGCCGUUGAAACUGUCGGACUAGAGACGGCGAGAAGUACGCGGAAUGCGCGGUGUAGCGGUGAAAUGCAUAGAUAUCGCGCAGAACUCCGAUUGCGAAGGCAGCGUACCGGCGCCGGACUGACGCUGAGGCACGAAAGCGUGGGUAUCGAACAGGAUUAGAUACCCCAGUA
This 444-nucleotide ribosomal RNA is filed under the name uncultured bacterium. RNAcentral describes it as "bacterial SSU rRNA". It matches the Rfam family "Bacterial small subunit ribosomal RNA", at positions 330 to 792 of the family's 1533-position model. The record is from RNAcentral.